RNAcentral lists this ribosomal RNA (253 nucleotides) under uncultured bacterium. RNAcentral's name for it is "partial 16S ribosomal RNA". It matches the Rfam family "Bacterial small subunit ribosomal RNA", at positions 524 to 776 of the family's 1533-position model. The record is from RNAcentral.
UACGUAGGGGGCAAGCGUUGUCCGGAUUCAUUGGGCGUAAAGAGCGUGUAGGCGGCCAGGUAGGUCGGUUGUGAAAACUGGAGGCUCAACCUUCAGACGUCGACCGAAACCAUCUGGCUAGAGUCCGGGAGAGGAGAGUGGAAUUCCUGGUGUAGCGGUGAAAUGCGCAGAUAUCAGGAGGAACACCGGUGGCUAAGGCGGGUCUCUGGGCCGAUAUUGACGCUGAGGAGCGAAAGCGUGGGGAGCAAACAGG